Molecule: ribosomal RNA, 243 nt
Filed under: uncultured bacterium
Lineage: Bacteria
Description: partial 16S ribosomal RNA
Rfam family: Bacterial small subunit ribosomal RNA
Source: RNAcentral
UGGGUAACCUACCUCAAAGAGGGGAAUAGCCUCCCGAAAGGGAGAUUAAUACCGCAUAAUAUGUUUAGGUCGCAUGACUUUAACAUCAAAGGAUUUUCUUUUAGAAAUUCCACUUUGAGAUGGACCCGCGGCGCAUCAGCUAGUUGGUGAGGUAACGGCUCACCAAGGCGACGACGGGUAGCUGGUCUGAGAGGAUGGCCAGCCACAUUGGGACUGAGACACGGCCCAGACUCCGUAGGGAGG